GGUUAAGCGACUAAGCGUACACGGUGGAUGCCCUGGCAGUCAGAGGCGAUGAAGGACGUGCUAAUCUGCGAAAAGCGACGGCGAGGUGAUAUGAACCUUUGACCCGUCGAUGUCCGAAUGGGGAAACCCAGUGUGUUCCGACACACUAUCGUUAACUGAAUACAUAGGUUAACGAGGCGAACCGGGGGAACUGAAACAUCUAAGU
Molecule: ribosomal RNA, 205 nt
Filed under: Enterobacter hormaechei
Lineage: Bacteria; Pseudomonadati; Pseudomonadota; Gammaproteobacteria; Enterobacterales; Enterobacteriaceae
Also listed under: 1 other name
Description: partial 23S ribosomal RNA
Rfam family: Bacterial large subunit ribosomal RNA
Source: RNAcentral